This 253-nucleotide ribosomal RNA is filed under the name uncultured bacterium. RNAcentral describes it as "partial 16S ribosomal RNA". It matches the Rfam family "Bacterial small subunit ribosomal RNA", at positions 524 to 776 of the family's 1533-position model. The record is from RNAcentral.
UACAGAGGGUGCGAGCGUUGUUCGGAAUUACUGGGCGUAAAGCGCACGUAGGCGGAUUGCUAAGUCAGGGGUGAAAUCCCGGAGCUCAACUCCGGAACUGCCUUUGAUACUGGCGAUCUUGAGUCCGGGAGAGGUGAGUGGAACUGCGAGUGUAGAGGUGAAAUUCGUAGAUAUUCGCAAGAACACCAGUGGCGAAGGCGGCUCACUGGCCCGGUACUGACGCUGAGGUGCGAAAGCGUGGGGAGCAAACAGG